GACGAACGCUGGCGGCGUGCUUAACACAUGCAAGUCGAACGGAAAGGCCCUGCUCUUGUGGGGUGCUCGAGUGGCGAACGGGUGAGUAACACGUGAGUAACCUGCCCUUGACUUUGGGAUAACUUCAGGAAACUGGGGCUAAUACCGGAUAGGAGCUCCUGCUGCAUGGUGGGGGUUGGAAAGUUUCGGCGGUAGGGGAUGGACUCGCGGCUUAUCAGCUUGUUGGUGGGGUAGUGGCUUACCAAGGCUUUGACGGGUAGCCGGCCUGAGAGGUGGACCGGCCACAUUGGGACUGAGAGACGGCCCAGACUCCUACGGGAGGCAGCAGGGGGGAAUAUUGCACAAUGGGCGGAAGCCUGAUGCAGCAACGCCGCGUGCGGAAUGACGGCCUUCGGGUUGUGAACCGCUGUCGCCUGUGACGAAGCGUGAGUGACGGUAAUUGGUAAAGAAGCACCGGCUAACUACGUG
RNAcentral lists this ribosomal RNA (468 nucleotides) under uncultured bacterium. RNAcentral describes it as "partial 16S ribosomal RNA". It matches the Rfam family "Bacterial small subunit ribosomal RNA", at positions 28 to 507 of the family's 1533-position model. The record is from RNAcentral.